ACGCUGGCGGCAGGCUUAACACAUGCAAGUCGAACGGUAACAGGAAUUAGCUUGCUAAUUUGCUGACGAGUGGCGGACGGGUGAGUAAUGCUUGGGAAUCUGGCUUAUGGAGGGGGAUAACUACGGGAAACUGUAGCUAAUACCGCGUAAAAUCUUCGGAUUAAAGGGUGGGACUUUCGAGCCACCUGCCAUAAGAUGAGCCCAAGUGGGAUUAGGUAGUUGGUUAGGUAAAGGCUGACCAAGCCGACGAUCUCUAGCUGGUCUGAGAGGAUGACCAGCCACACUGGAACUGAGACACGGUCCAGACUCCUACGGGAGGCAGCAGUGGGGAAUAUUGCACAAUGGGGGGAACCCUGAUGCAGCCAUGCCGCGUGAAUGAAGAAGGCCUUCGGGUUGUAAAGUUCUUUCGGUGACGAGGAAGGUUGAUAGGUUAAUAGCCUAUCAAAUUGACGUUAAUCACAGAAGAAGCACCGGCUAACUCCGUGCCAGCAGCCGCGGUAAUACGGGGGGUGCGAGCGUUAAUCGGAAUAACUGGGCGUAAAGGGCACGCAGGCGGUGACUUAAGUGAGAUGUGAAAGCCCCGAGCUUAACUUGGGAAUUGCAUUUCAUACUGGGUCGCUAGAGUACUUUAGGGAGGGGUAGGAUUCCACGUGUAGCGGUGAAAUGCGUAGAGAUGUGGAGGAAUACCGAAGGCGAAGGCAGCCCCUUGGGAACGUACUGACGCUCAUGUGCGAAAGCGUGGGGAGCAAACAGGAUUAGAUACCCUGGUAGUCCACGCUGUAAACGAUGUCGAUUUGGGGAUUGGGCUUUGAGCUUGGUGCCCGUAGCUAACGUGAUAAAUCGACCGCCUGGGGAGUACGGCCGCAAGGUUAAAACUCAAAUGAAUUGACGGGGGCCCGCACAAGCGGUGGAGCAUGU
RNAcentral lists this ribosomal RNA (918 nucleotides) under uncultured bacterium. Its description in RNAcentral is "bacterial SSU rRNA". It matches the Rfam family "Bacterial small subunit ribosomal RNA", at positions 33 to 942 of the family's 1533-position model. The record is from RNAcentral.